AGCAGUAGCCGCGGGAAUACGGAGGGAGCUAGCGUUAUUCGGAAUUACUGGGCGUAAAGCGCACGUAGGCGGCUUUGUAAGUAAGAGGUGAAAGCCCAGAGCUCAACUCUGGAAUUGCCUUUUAGACUGCAUCGCUUGAAUCAUGGAGAGGUCAGUGGAAUUCCGAGUGUAGAGGUGAAAUUCGUAGAUAUUCGGAAGAACACCAGUGGCGAAGGCGGCUGACUGGCUCGAAACUGACGCUGAGGCGCGAAAGCGUGGGGAGCAAACAGGAUUAGAUACCCCAGUAGUCCCUGUCUCUUAUAA
This 303-nucleotide ribosomal RNA is filed under the name uncultured bacterium. Its description in RNAcentral is "partial 16S ribosomal RNA". It matches the Rfam family "Bacterial small subunit ribosomal RNA", at positions 507 to 809 of the family's 1533-position model. The record is from RNAcentral.